CUCCAAUAGCACUGAGUCAUACUCACCCAUAGGGAAGACCAGUGUGUGAUUCCCUCUGGGCUGAAUUUCUUUUCUUUGUUUUACCCUUCUCAGUCCUCUCGCUCUUGAGCUCUGACAUUACUUCUCCAAACAAUCUGUACAUAAAGUUCUUGUCUCAGUUUCCCCUUUUACGAGAGGAGAUUGGGGGGUACCCAAAUAAUUGGAACUUACAGUGAAUCAGAGGACCCUAUAUAUAUCUGAGUAACUAAAAUAAAAAAAUAACAAGAAUACAGAAUGGAAGUUUAGAAAUCUUCUAGCUUAACUGAAAUGAGUCUUCUUAAAAAUGGUGGUUUUUCUGUCAGGUUUUGGAGGAAGAAUUUAACUUUGGAAAGUUCAAUGUGUGAUGAUGCGCUAUGGAAACGCCAUUCUACACAGAGAGGUUCAGAGAGCAAAGGCAGGGACUGGUGUCCCAGUUUAAUUGGGUCAUGAAGUUCAUGAAAAAUGACAGUAGAAUAUAAAUGUGGAAAGUUACAUUGAGAGUAUUAUGCUAAGUGAUAUAAGCCAGUCCCCCCCCAAAACAAAGGCCAGAUGUUCUCUCUCCUAUGUAGAUGCUAACAUAUAAUAAGGGCAGGGAUGGGAAGAAUAGAAGUUCAUUGGAUUAGACAAAGGGGAGUGAAGGAAAGGGAGGGGGGAUGGAAAUAGCAAAGGCUGUAGAAUGAAUCAGACAUCACUUUCACAUGUUCAUAUAUGAAUACGCGACCAGUGAAACUCCACAUUGUGUAUAACCACAAGAAUGAGAUCCUAAUUAAAAUAAAUUAUACUCCACGAAUGUAUGAUUUGCCAAAAUACACUCUACUGUCAUGUAUACCUAAAAA
Molecule: long non-coding RNA, 854 nt
Filed under: Marmota monax (woodchuck)
Lineage: Eukaryota; Metazoa; Chordata; Mammalia; Rodentia; Sciuridae
Source: RNAcentral